UACGUAGGGGGCAAGCGUUGUCCGGAAUCAUUGGGCGUAAAGCGCGUGCAGGCGGCUCGAUAAGUCUGCUGUGAAAGUCCAGGGCUCAACCCUGGGAUGCCGGUGGAUACUGUCGAGCUCGAGUCCGGAAGAGGCGAGUGGAAUUCCUGGUGUAGCGGUGAAAUGCGCAGAUAUCAGGAGGAACACCAAUGGCGAAGGCAGCUCGCUGGGACGUGACUGACGCUGAGACGCGAAAGCGUGGGGAGCAAACAGG
Molecule: ribosomal RNA, 253 nt
Filed under: uncultured bacterium
Lineage: Bacteria
Description: partial 16S ribosomal RNA
Rfam family: Bacterial small subunit ribosomal RNA
Source: RNAcentral